RNAcentral lists this long non-coding RNA (529 nucleotides) under Homo sapiens (human). RNAcentral describes it as "HSALNT0409268". Lineage: Eukaryota; Metazoa; Chordata; Mammalia; Primates; Hominidae. The record is from RNAcentral.
CUCUCAUUAAACAUCUUUGGCUGCCAUGGAAUUCAGGGAGCAAAUGGGAUUUCAGCCCUUGCCAGAACGGUGGUGCAGUGAUGUAUUACCUGCCAACAGCACAAUGUGAGGCAGGGUCCAGCCGUUCUGCCCAGCAUACAACUUGAGGGAGCAGCCCCUUUUGAAGACCUCCAGGUGGACUUCACAGGAAUGCCAAAGUGUGGAGUGAUCAUGUGUGGAUCAAGGACUGGAAUGUAGCCCACCCACAACUACGGUGGGAAGGACCCCAGACCAUCAUUUUGACGACUCUCACAGCAUGAAAAUAGAAGGAUUCCCAGCCUGGAUCAAUCACAGUCAUGUAUCAUCUACAUUGUCUGAGACCUGAGAGGUGAGACUGAGCCUGGUGGACCCCUGCAAAGUGACAUUGAGAAAGAUGGCAAGCCCUGCUACAGUCACAACCAGAAGCUUACUGUUGUAUGCAUGGCAAAAGAAUGAGGAUACUCAUCAUGGGAUUUAUUCUCCUUAAAAUUUGUACUUCUAUAAUAAAGAC